Schistocerca piceifrons (Central American locust) is the source of this 74-nucleotide non-coding RNA. The record is from the annotation of a RefSeq genome assembly. Lineage: Eukaryota; Metazoa; Arthropoda; Insecta; Orthoptera; Acrididae.
UCCUUGAUGGCUCAGUUGGAUAGAAUGUCUGCCAUGUAAGCAGAAGAUCCUGGGUUCGAGUCCCGGUCAGGGCA